RNAcentral lists this transfer RNA (91 nucleotides) under Mycoplasmataceae bacterium. RNAcentral describes it as "tRNA-Ser". It matches the Rfam family "tRNA". Rfam says of the family: Transfer RNA (tRNA) molecules are approximately 80 nucleotides in length. Their secondary structure includes four short double-helical elements and three loops (D, anti-codon, and T loops). Further hydrogen bonds mediate the characteristic L-shaped molecular structure. tRNAs have two regions of fundamental functional importance: the anti-codon, which is responsible for specific mRNA codon recognition, and the 3' end, to which the tRNAs corresponding amino acid is attached (by aminoacyl-tRNA synthetases). tRNAs cope with the degeneracy of the genetic code in two manners: having more than one tRNA (with a specific anti-codon) for a particular amino acid; and 'wobble' base-pairing, i.e. permitting non-standard base-pairing at the 3rd anti-codon position. The record is from RNAcentral. RNAcentral also lists the same sequence under 1 other name. Lineage: Bacteria; Bacillati; Mycoplasmatota; Mollicutes; Mycoplasmatales; Mycoplasmataceae.
GGAAGUGUGUCCGAGUGGCCGAAGGAGCUGGCUUGGAAAGCUAGUAAUAUCUAAUCAAUAUUCGGAGGUUCGAAUCCUCUCACUUCCGCCA